This 21-nucleotide non-coding RNA is filed under the name Caenorhabditis elegans. The record is from RNAcentral. Lineage: Eukaryota; Metazoa; Nematoda; Chromadorea; Rhabditida; Rhabditidae.
UGGGAACCAUUUAAAAAAGAA